This 164-nucleotide ribosomal RNA is filed under the name Taraxacum sp. HUH31443 B. RNAcentral describes it as "5.8S ribosomal RNA". It matches the Rfam family "5.8S ribosomal RNA". Rfam says of the family: 5.8S ribosomal RNA (5.8S rRNA) is a component of the large subunit of the eukaryotic ribosome. It is transcribed by RNA polymerase I as part of the 45S precursor that also contains 18S and 28S rRNA. Functionally, it is thought that 5.8S rRNA may be involved in ribosome translocation. Lineage: Eukaryota; Viridiplantae; Streptophyta; Magnoliopsida; Asterales; Asteraceae. The record is from RNAcentral.
GACUCUCGGCAACGGAUAUCUCGGCUCACGCAUCGAUGAAGAACGUAGCAAAAUGCGAUACUUGGUGUGAAUUGCAGAAUCCCGUGAACCAUCGAGUUUUUGAACGCAAGUUGCGCCCAAAGCCAUCCGGUUGAGGGCACGCCUGCCUGGGCGUCACGCAUCGC